RNAcentral lists this non-coding RNA (59 nucleotides) under Sus scrofa (pig). Lineage: Eukaryota; Metazoa; Chordata; Mammalia; Artiodactyla; Suidae. The record is from RNAcentral.
GACGGGGCGGGCCGGAGGCUGGCGUCCACGCCUUCCCAGCAUUCGGCUCGCCGCGUCGU